Molecule: non-coding RNA, 72 nt
Organism: Podarcis lilfordi (Lilford's wall lizard)
Lineage: Eukaryota; Metazoa; Chordata; Lepidosauria; Squamata; Lacertidae
Source: the annotation of a GenBank genome assembly
GAUAGCUCAGCUGGUUAGAACGUGGCGCUGAUAACACCAAGGCUGCAGGUUCCAUCCCUGCAUGGGUCAGCU